RNAcentral lists this ribosomal RNA (253 nucleotides) under uncultured bacterium. RNAcentral's name for it is "partial 16S ribosomal RNA". It matches the Rfam family "Bacterial small subunit ribosomal RNA", at positions 524 to 776 of the family's 1533-position model. The record is from RNAcentral.
UACGGGGGGGGCAAGCGUUGUUCGGAAUUACUGGGCGUAAAGGGCUCGUAGGUGGCCAACUAAGUCAGACGUGAAAUCCCUCGGCUCAACCGGGGAACUGCGUCCGAUACUGGCGGGCUUGAAUUCGGGAGAGGGAUGUGGAAUUCCAGGUGUAGCGGUGAAAUGCGUAGAUAUCUGGAGGAACACCGGUGGCGAAGGCGGCAUCCUGGACCGACAUUGACGCUGAGGCGCGAAAGCCAGGGGAGCAAACGGG